UACGGAAUGUGCAAACGUUAUUCGGAAUCACUGGGCUUAAAGAGUCCGUAGGCGGCUUGUUAGGUGAGGUGUGAAAUCCCCCGGCUCAACCGUGGAAUUGCGCUUCAAACCGGCAAGCUUGAGGAGGAUAGAGGUGGGCGGAACUGAUGGUGGAGCGGUGAAAUGCGUUGAUAUCAUCAGGAACACCGGAGGCGAAAGCGGUCCACUGGGUCCUUUCUGACGCUCAUGCACGAAAGCGUGGGGAUCAAACAGG
RNAcentral lists this ribosomal RNA (253 nucleotides) under uncultured bacterium. Its description in RNAcentral is "partial 16S ribosomal RNA". It matches the Rfam family "Bacterial small subunit ribosomal RNA", at positions 524 to 776 of the family's 1533-position model. The record is from RNAcentral.